AUUGAACGCUGGCGGCAGGCCUAACACAUGCAAGUCGAGCGGAGCGGCGGACGGGUGAGUAAUGCCUAGCAAGCUGCCUGGCAGUGGGGGAUAACGACCGGAAACGGGCGCUAAUACCGCAUACUAUCAGAUGAGCCUAGGUCGGAUUAGCUAGUUGGUGGGGUAAAGGCCUACCAAGGCGACGAUCCGUAACUGGUCUGAGAGGAUGAUCAGUCACACUGGAACUGAGCCACGGUCCAGACUCCGACGGGAGGCAGCAGUGGGGAAUAUUGGACAAUGGGCGCAAGCCAGAUCCAGCCAUGCCGCGUGUGUGAAGAAGGUCUUCGGAUUGUAAAGCACUUUAAGUUGGGAGGCGUUACCAACAGAAUAAGCACCGGCUAACUUCGUGCCAGCAGCCGCGGUAAUAC
Molecule: ribosomal RNA, 407 nt
Filed under: uncultured bacterium
Lineage: Bacteria
Description: partial 16S ribosomal RNA
Rfam family: Bacterial small subunit ribosomal RNA
Source: RNAcentral